This 2848-nucleotide long non-coding RNA is filed under the name Homo sapiens (human). Its description in RNAcentral is "non-protein coding lnc-LY86-12:1". The record is from RNAcentral. Lineage: Eukaryota; Metazoa; Chordata; Mammalia; Primates; Hominidae.
GGAGCCUAGGGAGGGAGAGCAGAGGCAAGGGGAUCAGUCGAGCCCCGCUGGUGGGAUGAGUCUGCCGGGACAAGGGGUGCUAGCUGUGGUCCUCGUCUGCCUUGUUCUCAGCUGUAUCCUGGCCCCCAGAUGAAGCCUGGCCACAGUGUACUUGGUAAAUAGUGGUUGCAGGAAUGACUGAAAUCCUGGCCUGAGUGAGCUCACAACUUUCCAUAUGAGGCAAAUAAGCAGAUCUGUUGGUUAUGACCCAGAUACGUGGUGACCAGGGCAAACGUUUGUCAGAGGAGUGACGGGUGGGGGCUGGACUGUCUUCCCGGUACAGCUGUGGAGGAAAGCAGGCAGUGCAGCUGGGACAUGCAGCCGCUGUCCCCUGGGGCUGGCGGAAGGGUGUGGAGUGACGGAGAGGGAGAGCUGCUGAUCAGGGAGCUGGGCAUCCCGUUGCAGCCUUACUGGGAAGCUUGCAUCCCAGAGCCGACUUGCCUCACCUUUAUUCAGGGAUUCAGGCCCUUCCCCUCCCCCAAGGGCUUGCUUAAUUCCCCUGGCUUCCUUGAGGCAUACUCAGAAAUUCCUUUCAGUUCCCCUUUCUGCUGGCUGUGCUUGAGGCAGGGAUGGGCCAAAUACCCUCCACGCCCUUGGUCCAUCCAGAAGUACUGAGUCAACAGCCCUUUCCCAGAAUCUACCUCCAUCUCUUUCCACACCUGCAGCCGGACUGUUCCCAGGAAUGAGGUGGGGCAGGACCUGAGAGCAAAGUGUGAGCUGGUGUGCAGAACCACCCGGAGGUGGAAGGAAGCUAGAAUCUAGUGUAGGGUGCCUCUGACACUUGUCCCACACAUAGAUCUCCCAGGGAUGACUGUGUGGGUCCGAGGUGGGAUGGAAAACUUGCAUUUCUUACAGGCUGCUGGGGAUGCUGGUGCUGAGGCUUCCGAUCACCCUGGAGGCACGGCUCUGUAUGAAGGCAGGGUGAGGUUGGCAGAGGAGAGAUAAAUACAGUCACAAUUUACUGAGUGCCAGACACCGGGCUAAGGGCAUUAUGUGAAUAAUCUCUUUUAAUCCUCACCAGCCCUGUGAGUUGGCACCAUUAUUAUGCCUAUUUAACAGAUGAGAUUUAGAAAGACUGGUGAACUUGCUCAAGGUCACAGAGCUUGCAAGUGAGACUUGAACUCAAUUGUCUGACUCCAGCAGUUGAACUAUUAAGAGAAAUUCCGAGAGGAUAAAUCUUGAUCGUCUGACUAUGAUGUGUUGUAAGCAACAACUAGAGAAAAGAUCAAGAAAUGAAAAAAGAUGCCCAUACAGCCAACAAAGGGAAGGGUGUAUAUUGUAUAUGCAGCUAUGACUGGACCCAGUAGAAUUUCAGGAUGCCUCAACUUCUGAACCAAUCAAGAUUAAAAAUAGCUGUGACAAAAGAAAAAAGAUAGCAUGACACAUUAUCCUCUUUGCUUCGAAUCUAUCUAAAAAUCUAUAUUUCAGGAUAAAAUUCCCUUCAGAUUUAAAAAUUUCUCUUUUAUUUUUGUUGUUCUACCCCACCACAUCCCAGGGCGUUUCGUUCAAAAUAUGUAGUAAGUUAUUUCUCUAAAUUGUCUUUGUUUUUUAUGUAUAAAGUAUAAUAGAUAAGCACCUAGUAUAAAUUAUUUCAGAUUACUAUACUACUGUACAAGGUAAACAGGAGAUAUGCUGAAAUGCAGUUGUGGAGUUACGGCCUGACUUGGUAUGAAUAGCCUUUAGGUGUUGGACAGGGAAAAAAAUGUUGGACAGAAUUCUCCUUGCUGGACAUCGUGCACAUUGAAAAUUAAAAUACGUCGUGGAAUUUAAGUAUUUAUAAUCAGCACAACUCAAGUAAAAGCAACAAUCUGGUUUAAAUCCUUCACAAAAGGAAACUCAACGUUGGAGCAUCUGAAGGGCGUACUAGCCCAACUGUUUUCUUUCCUAGGGAGAAAGUCCCUUGAAUGUUACACAGGCUUAAAGCAUGACCUUGCAUUUUCAUCCCUUGGCUUCCUCAUUUUUGUAGAUUUCAAAUCAGACCCGAAAGACCGUCUCACGUGGUUAAAUAAUGUAGUGUCUGGGUUAAUGACUCCAAAAUGCAAAAUGAGACCGGAGAGAGAACAGACUGUUUCUCCUAUAGGCUGCCCUAACUCUCAGCCUCUGGGUCCUCCAGGCGCCCCAUAAACAUAAUCUUGUGCGCUUCUGCUCAUCACACCUUGUAUGAGUACUCCACGGGUUUAUUAUACACGCAGGCUCUUGGUGGGGAGACAACAGUGAAACUGAUAGAUUGUAAUUCACGUUCCAGUGAAUCCUAUGCAGGAGGGGAGGAGUCUGACCACAAUAAUGAGGCGUUCUUUGUCUUAGUUUUGCUUUUUUAACAAGUUUCCUAAACCUUGGUGAGCUCCAUGCUCAAAGGAGUUCAGGGGCAUUCUAUUCAGGAAAUUCUGUUUUUCCUUAUAAAAUUGGAAUUAAAAUGCUCUCAUCUGCACUUGCUCCCCCAGGCCUUGGAGACUUGGUCCUGGGGACUCCCAUGUGUGCAGACCUUGCAUUGUCACCCGUGGUGCUUUUUCUCAGCUCCUCCUCUGAGUGGCAGAAGGAACGCUAAAACUCAGAUUUCCUGCUUCCACUGCAGGCCUUUCUUCAGAUGCUGAAUGCCUUUCUACGUUCACUCCGGAAUUAUUAAUAUCGGACUGACACCCCCCUGCUUCCAUCCUCAAUUCCUGUACAUAUAUGCCUGAUGUCAUCUAAUGUUUUCCCUUUGGGGGAAAACAAAUUCCAGCUUUCCAACAGAAAGCCCUAGAUUUAUCAACUCUUCAAGGCUCUCUGUAUACAGCAUUUUGAAUCUAGACAAAAUACAUAAAGAGUUGAU